This 449-nucleotide ribosomal RNA is filed under the name uncultured bacterium. RNAcentral describes it as "partial 16S ribosomal RNA". It matches the Rfam family "Bacterial small subunit ribosomal RNA", at positions 29 to 523 of the family's 1533-position model. The record is from RNAcentral.
AACGAACGCUGGCGGCAUGCCUAACACAUGCAAGUCGAACGAGAUCUUCGGGUCUAGUGGCGCACGGGUGCGUAACGCGUGGGAAUCUGCCCUUUGGUUCGGAAUAACAGUUGGAAACGACUGCUAAUACCGGAUGAUGACGAAAGUCCAAAGAUUUAUCGCCAGAGGAUGAGCCCGCGUAGGAUUAGCUAGUUGGUGUGGUAAAGGCGCACCAAGGCGACGAUCCUUAGCUGGUCUGAGAGGAUGAUCAGCCACACUGGGACUGAGACACGGUCCAGACUCCUACGGGAGGCAGCAGUGGGGAAUAUUGGACAAUGGGCGAAAGCCUGAUCCAGCAGUGCCGCGUGAGUGAUGAAGGCCUUAGGGUUGUAAAGCUCUUUUACCCGGGAUGAUAAUGACAGUACCGGGAGAAUAAGCUCCGGCUAACUCCGUGCCAGCCGCCGCGGUAA